AUUUAAAUAGUUUAAAUUAAGAAUAGUAAUUUGUGGUGUUAUUGGUGUAGAUAUACUUUAAAUC
This 64-nucleotide transfer RNA is filed under the name Aethus nigritus. Its description in RNAcentral is "tRNA-His". Lineage: Eukaryota; Metazoa; Arthropoda; Insecta; Hemiptera; Cydnidae. The record is from RNAcentral.